This 229-nucleotide long non-coding RNA is filed under the name Brassica napus (rape). RNAcentral's name for it is "long non-coding RNA (BNAP_LNC003401)". Lineage: Eukaryota; Viridiplantae; Streptophyta; Magnoliopsida; Brassicales; Brassicaceae. The record is from RNAcentral.
CUCUAUCUAAUCCAUAAAAUCAUAAGUGAGCUAAAAUGUUUCUUGGUUCUUCUAGAGGAGAUUAAGUUCCUCAACUCCCUGUCAAGAGAAAUGAAGACUGUUGCAGGGGACAGGGUAGUAGCAUUGUGAAUCAGGUUAUUCCUCUGUUUCCAUAUAUGAAAGAUCACCGCUUGAGAAGCCAGCUUCCUUAGGAGGACCUUACUCUUCGACGUAGCUGUUCGGAUCCAGG